Molecule: ribosomal RNA, 2925 nt
Filed under: Escherichia coli
Lineage: Bacteria; Pseudomonadati; Pseudomonadota; Gammaproteobacteria; Enterobacterales; Enterobacteriaceae
Description: 23S ribosomal RNA
Rfam family: Bacterial large subunit ribosomal RNA
Source: RNAcentral
GGGUUGUGAGGUUAAGCGACUAAGCGUACACGGUGGAUGCCCUGGCAGUCAGAGGCGAUGAAGGACGUGCUAAUCUGCGAUAAGCGUCGGUAAGGUGAUAUGAACCGUUAUAACCGGCGAUUUCCGAAUGGGGAAACCCAGUGUGAUUCGUCACACUAUCAUUAACUGAAUCCAUAGGUUAAUGAGGCGAACCGGGGGAACUGAAACAUCUAAGUACCCCGAGGAAAAGAAAUCAACCGAGAUUCCCCCAGUAGCGGCGAGCGAACGGGGAGCAGCCCAGAGCCUGAAUCAGUGUGUGUGUUAGUGGAAGCGUCUGGAAAGGCGUGCGAUACAGGGUGACAGCCCCGUACACAAAAAUGCACAUACUGUGAGCUCGAUGAGUAGGGCGGGACACGUGGUAUCCUGUCUGAAUAUGGGGGGACCAUCCUCCAAGGCUAAAUACUCCUGACUGACCGAUAGUGAACCAGUACCGUGAGGGAAAGGCGAAAAGAACCCCGGCGAGGGGAGUGAAAAAGAACCUGAAACCGUGUACGUACAAGCAGUGGGAGCACGCUUAGGCGUGUGACUGCGUACCUUUUGUAUAAUGGGUCAGCGACUUAUAUUCUGUAGCAAGGUUAACCGAAUAGGGGAGCCGAAGGGAAACCGAGUCUUAACUGGGCGUUAAGUUGCAGGGUAUAGACCCGAAACCCGGUGAUCUAGCCAUGGGCAGGUUGAAGGUUGGGUAACACUAACUGGAGGACCGAACCGACUAAUGUUGAAAAAUUAGCGGAUGACUUGUGGCUGGGGGUGAAAGGCCAAUCAAACCGGGAGAUAGCUGGUUCUCCCCGAAAGCUAUUUAGGUAGCGCCUCGUGAAUUCAUCUCCGGGGGUAGAGCACUGUUUCGGCAAGGGGGUCAUCCCGACUUACCAACCCGAUGCAAACUGCGAAUACCGGAGAAUGUUAUCACGGGAGACACACGGCGGGUGCUAACGUCCGUCGUGAAGAGGGAAACAACCCAGACCGCCAGCUAAGGUCCCAAAGUCAUGGUUAAGUGGGAAACGAUGUGGGAAGGCCCAGACAGCCAGGAUGUUGGCUUAGAAGCAGCCAUCAUUUAAAGAAAGCGUAAUAGCUCACUGGUCGAGUCGGCCUGCGCGGAAGAUGUAACGGGGCUAAACCAUGCACCGAAGCUGCGGCAGCGACGCUUAUGCGUUGUUGGGUAGGGGAGCGUUCUGUAAGCCUGCGAAGGUGUGCUGUGAGGCAUGCUGGAGGUAUCAGAAGUGCGAAUGCUGACAUAAGUAACGAUAAAGCGGGUGAAAAGCCCGCUCGCCGGAAGACCAAGGGUUCCUGUCCAACGUUAAUCGGGGCAGGGUGAGUCGACCCCUAAGGCGAGGCCGAAAGGCGUAGUCGAUGGGAAACAGGUUAAUAUUCCUGUACUUGGUGUUACUGCGAAGGGGGGACGGAGAAGGCUAUGUUGGCCGGGCGACGGUUGUCCCGGUUUAAGCGUGUAGGCUGGUUUUCCAGGCAAAUCCGGAAAAUCAAGGCUGAGGCGUGAUGACGAGGCACUACGGUGCUGAAGCAACAAAUGCCCUGCUUCCAGGAAAAGCCUCUAAGCAUCAGGUAACAUCAAAUCGUACCCCAAACCGACACAGGUGGUCAGGUAGAGAAUACCAAGGCGCUUGAGAGAACUCGGGUGAAGGAACUAGGCAAAAUGGUGCCGUAACUUCGGGAGAAGGCACGCUGAUAUGUAGGUGAAGCGACUUGCUCGUGGAGCUGAAAUCAGUCGAAGAUACCAGCUGGCUGCAACUGUUUAUUAAAAACACAGCACUGUGCAAACACGAAAGUGGACGUAUACGGUGUGACGCCUGCCCGGUGCCGGAAGGUUAAUUGAUGGGGUCAGCGCAAGCGAAGCUCUUGAUCGAAGCCCCGGUAAACGGCGGCCGUAACUAUAACGGUCCUAAGGUAGCGAAAUUCCUUGUCGGGUAAGUUCCGACCUGCACGAAUGGCGUAAUGAUGGCCAGGCUGUCUCCACCCGAGACUCAGUGAAAUUGAACUCGCUGUGAAGAUGCAGUGUACCCGCGGCAAGACGGAAAGACCCCGUGAACCUUUACUAUAGCUUGACACUGAACAUUGAGCCUUGAUGUGUAGGAUAGGUGGGAGGCUUUGAAGUGUGGACGCCAGUCUGCAUGGAGCCGACCUUGAAAUACCACCCUUUAAUGUUUGAUGUUCUAACGUGGACCCGUAAUCCGGGUUGCGGACAGUGUCUGGUGGGUAGUUUGACUGGGGCGGUCUCCUCCUAAAGAGUAACGGAGGAGCACGAAGGUUGGCUAAUCCUGGUCGGACAUCAGGAGGUUAGUGCAAUGGCAUAAGCCAGCUUGACUGCGAGCGUGACGGCGCGAGCAGGUGCGAAAGCAGGUCAUAGUGAUCCGGUGGUUCUGAAUGGAAGGGCCAUCGCUCAACGGAUAAAAGGUACUCCGGGGAUAACAGGCUGAUACCGCCCAAGAGUUCAUAUCGACGGCGGUGUUUGGCACCUCGAUGUCGGCUCAUCACAUCCUGGGGCUGAAGUAGGUCCCAAGGGUAUGGCUGUUCGCCAUUUAAAGUGGUACGCGAGCUGGGUUUAGAACGUCGUGAGACAGUUCGGUCCCUAUCUGCCGUGGGCGCUGGAGAACUGAGGGGGGCUGCUCCUAGUACGAGAGGACCGGAGUGGACGCAUCACUGGUGUUCGGGUUGUCAUGCCAAUGGCACUGCCCGGUAGCUAAAUGCGGAAGAGAUAAGUGCUGAAAGCAUCUAAGCACGAAACUUGCCCCGAGAUGAGUUCUCCCUGACUCCUUGAGAGUCCUGAAGGAACGUUGAAGACGACGACGUUGAUAGGCCGGGUGUGUAAGCGCAGCGAUGCGUUGAGCUAACCGGUACUAAUGAACCGUGAGGCUUAACCUUACAACGCCGAAG